AACGAACGCUGGCGGCAGGCUUAACACAUGCAAGUCGAGCGCCCCGCAAGGGGAGCGGCAGACGGGUGAGUAACGCGUGGGAAUCUACCCUGAUCUGCGGAAUAGCUCCGGGAAACUGGAAUUAAUACCGCAUAUGCCCUGAGGGGCAAAGGUUGAUCCCGAUUGGGAUGAGCCCGCGUUGGAUUAGCUAGUUGGUGGGGUAAAGGCCUACCAAGGCGACGGUCCAUAGCUGGUCUAAGAGGAUGAUCAGCCACAUUGGGACUGAGACACGGCCCAAACUCCUACGGGAGGCAGCAGUGGGGAAUAUUGGACAAUGGGCGCAAGCCUGAUCCAGCCAUGCCGCGUGAGUGAUGAAGGCCCUAGGGUUGUAAAGCUCUUUCACCGAGGACGAUAAUGACGGUACCCGGAGAAGAAGCCCCGGCUAACUUCGUGCCAGCCGCCGCCGUAA
This 448-nucleotide ribosomal RNA is filed under the name uncultured bacterium. Its description in RNAcentral is "partial 16S ribosomal RNA". It matches the Rfam family "Bacterial small subunit ribosomal RNA", at positions 29 to 523 of the family's 1533-position model. The record is from RNAcentral.